GACGAACGCUGGCGGCGUGCUUAACACAUGCAAGUCGAACGGUAAGGCUCCAGCUUGCUGGGGUACACGAGUGGCGAACGGGUGAGUAACACGUGGGUGACCUGCCCUGCACUUCGGGAUAAGCCUGGGAAACUGGGUCUAAUACCGGAUAGGACCGCACCGUGAGGGUGUGGUGGAAAGUUUUUUCGGUGUGGGAUGGGCCCGCGGCCUAUCAGCUUGUUGGUGGGGUAAUGGCCUACCAAGGCGGCGACGGGUAGCCGGCCUGAGAGGGUGGACGGCCACAUUGGGACUGAGACACGGCCCAGACUCCUACGGGAGGCAGCAGUGGGGAAUAUUGCACAAUGGGCGGAAGCCUGAUGCAGCGACGCCGCGUGGGGGAUGACGGCCUUCGGGUUGUAAACUCCUUUCACCAUCGACGAAGGGUUUCUGACGGUAGAUGGAGAAGAAGCACCGGCUAACUACGG
This 464-nucleotide ribosomal RNA is filed under the name uncultured bacterium. Its description in RNAcentral is "partial 16S ribosomal RNA". It matches the Rfam family "Bacterial small subunit ribosomal RNA", at positions 28 to 506 of the family's 1533-position model. The record is from RNAcentral.